AACAGUGGUCUCUCGCGUCCUUUAUAUUUCUAUAUCGAAAUAUUGUUCUCGACAUAUCGUUGAUCGCUUUCCGCUCUUAUAAUCCAAAAUUUAAAUCUUUAGUUCUUUCAGUGAAAAAAUUUCAUUUUUAAACUUUUCGAUCUUGUGUUCUUUUUUCUUUUCUACAAUAAUUCAUGAUUUUGGGCAUGUUUCUCUGGAGACGUUUUCGUUUCCAAUAUGUAUAGGUUACAAAUGACUAAUUGGAUGGAUGGAACAAUCACGUACUUACGAACAGGCAAACAAAAAAGUUCAAAGCAAAUAGAAAGUUCGGUUUCGUAAAGCGUGAUUUAGUAUCCCAAAGAGAAAAGUAUAUCAACAGUGGCGGAGGAAAUUUGAAAUCUUUUGUAUGUGACACAAGAUCAGACUCGGAUCUGCAUGCGUCUAACCUCUCGCAUUUUCGAUAACAUUUUCUAGUUAUUCAGACACACCAGUUAUGACGAUAUAAACCACUUUAUAACCUAUUCUCCGUAUUAGAUAAAUUAUAUAUGAGCAUGUGUGUAAGAUGGUACUAUAAAUUUUCCUACUUUCGUGUAGUGUAUGAAUAGUCCUCGAAUAGUAGCUCAAACUUUGAUAAGGGAUGGCGGAGGAAGAAGAAGAAAAGGAAUAUCGCUGGGAGACUGGUUAUGAGAAAACUUGGGAAGCGAUCAAAGAAGACGAUCAUGGAUUAUUGGAGCCAUCUGUGGCAGAUAUUAUUCUUAGUGCCAAGAGAAAGCGUCAGUUGGAAAGAAAACAAGGUGCCAGAUUAGGGAUGAUGAGACAUCUUUAUAUCAUCUUAGAUGCUUCUGAAUCAAUGUCAAAUCAAGAUUUGAAACCAACUCGUUUCUUGUGUUCCCUGAAGCUUCUAGAAAAUUUUAUUGAAGAAUUCUUCUAUCAAAACCCUAUAAGUCAGUUAGGUGUAAUCACUACUAGAAAUAAAAGAGCUGAGAAAAUUAGUGACUUGGCUGGUAAUUCAAAGAAGCAUAUCAAGGAAUUACAAUCAUUGCAGCAAACAAUGGUAACUGGUGAACCAUCUCUACAGAAUUCCUUAGAACUGGCUCUGAAGUCAUUACGAUUAUUACCAUCGCAUGCUAGUAAAGAGAUAUUGAUAAUUAUAGGAGCUCUUACCACUUGUGAUCCUGGAGACAUCAAUGAGACGAUACAAAACAUGAAGUCAGAUGGCAUUAGAUGUAGCGUCAUAGGAUUAGCUGCCGAAUUGUAUAUCUGUAAGCGAAUGGCAAAUGCCACUGGUGGCGAGCAUGGGGUAGCACUCGAUGAUAAACAUUACAAAGAGCAAUUAAAUUCGCAUAUAGACCCUCCACCCGCUGCAACGCGAUUAGAUGCCGCGCUUGUAAAAAUGGGAUUUCCUCAUCACGCUUUGCAUUCCACUGUGACAGACACACCUAUGACAGUGUGUAUGUGUCAUGCGGAAAGUUCUGAUGAAUUGUUCAAACUUAUGAGCACAGGUUACCUAUGUCCCCAGUGUCUCAGUAAACAUUGCGAACUUCCCGUAGAAUGUAGAUCUUGCGGUCUCACUUUGGUAUCGGCUCCGCAUUUGGCACGCUCGUAUCACUAUCUGUUUCCAGUUGCAACUUUUACAGAAAUUGAAUUUGAAAACAAUCACUCGUCGUGUUUUGGUUGCCAGAAAGUUUUUACUCAAAAGGACAAAAAGAUAUAUAUCUGUGAAAAGUGUGAUCAACCAUUUUGCUUGGAUUGUGAGAUAUUUAUUCACGAAUCUUUACACACAUGUCCUGGCUGCGCAACAAAUCCCGAGACAUAUAAAAAAUCGGUGGAUAAAUCGUAAAAUAUACCCUUCGACGAAAAAUUAUUACAUACACAUGUAAUAUUCUCUGGAGCAAUUAUCACGAUAGUGAAUACCGAGAGGUCACGAGUAUAAGUAUCGUGUUACACAGUUGCAUGUAAAAAAAAAAAUUACAGUUUUACAACUUUCAUUACAACCUAGCCAAAUCUAUCUUGUAAUAUAAAUGUACAAAUCACUCGUAUAUCUGGAAUAUAUCGGGUAUAUGGAACUUAUACAAAUGCAUAUUUAUAUACAUACAUAUUUACAGUAAAUAAAAUAUAAAAUGUCGAAAUAAUGUCUACUUGCACGCUCUAUCUGCUUGCGACUUUACAGCAAUGUCAAUGGCUAAUUUGGCUUAUUCGCACUGAUAAUUCAGGUGAUAUAGUGUAUACGAUAAGAGAAAGAGGAAAAUCCUGUUGCGAUCUCGAUAACGUGGCUAUGAUGAGAAGCAGCACAUUCACAAAUGUAUCUUGUGUAAGAGAGGUGCAACGCGAGAUACAUCUUUGAACAUAUUAAUGCGUGUAUACGUCCAAGUAGCGAGCAACAAUAUUCGAUAGUUACACGUGUGACUGGGACUUUUGUGCGACGACGAGUGUAGCACGACUCCGCUCCUAACGCAAAUGUCCUACUUCAAUAUUUACUUGGUGGGGGAACAUUGAAGCUUAUUACUACCUAGACAGGUAGAAAGUGAGCAUCGUGACGCUACAAGCACGUUAUUAAUUGUUGGUCACCCGCCGAUGCCUGUCGGUCGAAUUUAUGUGCAUGCGAUACGUAUUCCGCUCGAGACUUGCGCUGAUAUUUCCAAAUUUGAUUUUCUUGUGAUUAAUAAUAAACAUAAUUAACAUAAGACGAUGUAAACAUUGUCGGAAUAUAGCUCCGACUGGCCGAAGUUGGCCGAUAUGACAGAAACCGAUAUAUCUGUCAUGGAAAACGACACACGAUAAGAAAUUUGCAAAGCUGAACACGCCUAUUCGAAGCAAUCCGCACGUCGUCAUGCGCUGUGUAGUCACGUGCUCAGUCAUUAAGUAAAAUGUAAAUUACUACCGCAAAUGUACAUUUCUGCAUGUACUCUUGGAUCAGUUUACUAAAAGAACUAUAUAUAUGUCAAGGAGAAAAAUAUAUUACUAUAUAUAUAUAUAUACACUGCACGCGGCACUUGAGUUCAGAUUUUAAUGUUAAGAAUAAAUAUUAGUUUCCCAGUAAUAUAUUUCUCCUUCGCAUUGUCGUGGCACGACUUGCGAGUACUCACGAGACUGGCAACCUCGCAAUAAUCAGCGGUUA
Molecule: unclassified non-coding RNA, 3097 nt
Filed under: Harpegnathos saltator (Jerdon's jumping ant)
Lineage: Eukaryota; Metazoa; Arthropoda; Insecta; Hymenoptera; Formicidae
Description: general transcription factor IIH subunit 2, transcript variant X1
Source: RNAcentral